AGUGAACGCUGGCGGUAGGCCUAACACAUGCGAGUCGAACGGCAGCACAGGAGAGCUUGCUCUCUAGGUGGCGAGUGGCGGACGGGUGAGGAAUACAUCGGAAUCUGCCCAGUCGUGGGGGAUAACGUAGGGAAACUUACGCUAAUACCGCAUACGACCUUCGGGUGAAAGAGGGGGAUCGCAAGACCUCUCGCGAUUGGAUGAGCCGAUGUCGGAUUAGCUAGUUAGCGGGGUAAUGGCCCACCAAGGCGACGAUCCGUAGCUGGUCUGAGAGGAUGAUCAGCCACACUGGAACUGAGACACGGUCCAGACUCCUACGGGAGGCAGCAGUGGGGAAUAUUGGACAAUGGGCGCAAGCCUGAUCCAGCCAUACCGCGUGGGUGAAGAAGGCCUUCGGGUUGUAAAGCCCUUUUGUUGGGAAAGAAAUCGUUCAGGCUAAUACCCUGGGAGGAUGACGGUACCCAAAGAAUAAGCACCGGCUAACUUCGUG
RNAcentral lists this ribosomal RNA (490 nucleotides) under uncultured bacterium. Its description in RNAcentral is "partial 16S ribosomal RNA". It matches the Rfam family "Bacterial small subunit ribosomal RNA", at positions 29 to 507 of the family's 1533-position model. The record is from RNAcentral.